RNAcentral lists this unclassified non-coding RNA (245 nucleotides) under Hevea brasiliensis (rubber tree). Lineage: Eukaryota; Viridiplantae; Streptophyta; Magnoliopsida; Malpighiales; Euphorbiaceae. The record is from RNAcentral.
GAUCACCUCACCAGGUAUAGGGAAAAAGGACAUCAUAUAAGUUGAUAAGGAAUCUAGCACUUUAUUAAAGUGACUACCUCCCAAUGAAAGGUAUUGAGACUUCCAAAGUGCCAACUUCCUCUUUGUCUUCUCAAUAAAUUCUAUCCCAAAUAGUAAUGGCUUUAUGGUUUGCCCCCAAUGGCAUGCCUAGAUAAAGUGUUCGUAGCUUCUGUACCUUGAACCUCAAGAUGUUUGUUAGUGUUUGU